AAAAACAAUAAAUAUUUGAAAGGAAAAAAUGUGAAUGUGUUAGACAAAAUUGUCUUUGCGACCUCCAACUACAAGUCAGUUGGUACUAAAUAGACAUGGAUGAUAGGUUUUUCCCUCGUGCUACAACAGUGGAGAACGUCUAUGGAUUCUAUUUUCGGAAACCUAUUUCAUGUUUUCAACUAUUCGCAACUCUAUCUCUAGCCUCAGUAUCAGAAACUUCAAGCAAUUCACUUCUUCUUCUUCGACUUGUUAGAGAGCGAUUGAGAAUACGCAGUUCCCUCAAGCCAUUCAUCCGUGGAUGCAUCUGUUGUUGCUGUUCCAACUUCAACCUUUGCCUUUGGUGCUCUCUUAGUUUUCUUUGAGAGAUUUUGUAUCUGACCACGAAUCCAGAAUCCAAGAAGGGCAAGGAGGGCAAUUCCAAGACAAAACAAGAAAACAGACUCAACACUGAGAAGACCACCAGGCUCAGUCACUUCAAUAGUGCCAUUGUAGAAUGUACUUUGAAAAGGGUUCUGGUCUAUCUCAUAAACAAUAAUACCGACAAGAUCAAAGCUUCCGGGCUGCAUAAAUUUGCUGACAGCAAAUAUAUAUGGGAAAGUGGCCUGAGCAGAAGGUGGAACUGUAGCAUUGUUAAAAGCCUGUACAGACAGAUUUUGAACCAAAUAGCGGUGAUCAAAAGGAAGGUGAACGCUGGCUUGGAUUGCAAUGAUAUUCAAACUUGAAUCUCCAUCAUUUUUCAUUCCAACUAACAGCUCACUUUCCUCACCAGCUGCCACUACCUUAGAAGGGUUUUUGGGGAAAACACAAACCGUCUCAAUCCCAGGUGCGGGACUAAAACUAUCACUGCCAAAAUCCCGGACAUCCUCAUCAACAAUUCCAAGAUCUCCUGCUUCUCCAGUGCCUUCUACCACAUCUGUUUCAGGGUCGGAUUGACAUCUAGCAACUUGAAUGAAUGGUGCAGAGAAGAGGAUGAGAGCGAGGAAAACAGAGAAAACCCUAAUCGACAUUGUAGAUCGAAGAUGAAGAUGGAGAGAGCUAACAGAAAUGUAGAGCUGAGCUAAGAAGGACCCAAAAAAAAAAAAA
Molecule: unclassified non-coding RNA, 1083 nt
Filed under: Hevea brasiliensis (rubber tree)
Lineage: Eukaryota; Viridiplantae; Streptophyta; Magnoliopsida; Malpighiales; Euphorbiaceae
Source: RNAcentral